UUGUAUGUUUGUAUGUUAACAGCAUUUAACCAAGAGCUGAAGACAUUUCAACUUUAUCAAAUAUUGUCAUGUAUAAUAAAUAUUUUAAAUAGUGUUUAACUGAAAUAGUAAGUGAAAGUAGUAGUGAAACUGAAAGUAAAUUCGACAACUGUUUUAUGUUGCUUCACACGAGACAGCUCAACAGCAGGAGAAAUGAGUUGUGAUGGCGACCAGCACACAAUGCAGUCCUCAGAUGAUGUGCUGCCCCCUCCUGGUGACAUCCAGGUCCUGUUGCUGACAUUAGAUUCUGUGUCUCUGAGCUGGAGUUCUCCUCAGGGGCUGAUAGGACCACAGACAUUCAGAGUGACCUGGGGGUGUGACAGUGAAACAAGCUCAACAAGAGUGAAAGAUGUGUAUCAUCUUAAAAUAAGCAGUCUCAAACCUGGUGAAAAGUACCAGUUCAACAUGGCUACAGAGGGAGAAGAUGGAAGACAAAGCAGAUGGGUCUCAGCAUCCCUAUCCACAGUGGUCACACCCAGAGAUUUAAAGAUCGACCAUUUGGAAGAGACCUCCUUCACUCUCCACUGGUCCAAGGCUGAAGGGAUGGAGAAAGUCCCACAGCACUUCUUCAUAUCCAACUGCA
Oncorhynchus masou masou (cherry salmon) is the source of this 622-nucleotide long non-coding RNA. RefSeq lists it as uncharacterized. The transcript is spliced from 4 exons. The record is from RefSeq and is a predicted model, not a curated record. Lineage: Eukaryota; Metazoa; Chordata; Actinopteri; Salmoniformes; Salmonidae.